GACGUAGGAGGCGAGCGUUGUCCGGAUUCAUUGGGCGUAAAGAGCGCGUAGGCGGCUGGAAUAGUCCGGUGUGAAAUCCACAGGCUUAACCUGUGAAUGCCGCUGGAAACUGUCUGGCUAGAGUCCGGAAGGGGCGAGUGGAAUUCCUGGUGUAGCGGUGAAAUGCGCAGAUAUCAGGAGGAACACCAAUGGCGAAGGCAGCUCGCUGGGACGGUACUGACGCUGAGGCGCGAAAGCGUGGGUAGCAAACAGG
Molecule: ribosomal RNA, 253 nt
Filed under: uncultured bacterium
Lineage: Bacteria
Description: partial 16S ribosomal RNA
Rfam family: Bacterial small subunit ribosomal RNA
Source: RNAcentral